RNAcentral lists this ribosomal RNA (791 nucleotides) under Marasmius tenuissimus. Its description in RNAcentral is "LSU rRNA". It matches the Rfam family "Eukaryotic large subunit ribosomal RNA", at positions 25 to 798 of the family's 3401-position model. Lineage: Eukaryota; Fungi; Basidiomycota; Agaricomycetes; Agaricales; Marasmiaceae. The record is from RNAcentral.
CCGCUGAAAUUAAGCAUAUCAAUAAGCGGAGGAAAAGAAACUAACAAGGAUUCCCCUAGUAACUGCGAGUGAAGAGGGAAAAGCUCAAAUUUAAAAUCUGGCAGUCUUUGAUUGUCCGAGUUGUAAUUUAGAGAAGUGUUACCCGCGCUGGACCGUGUAUAAGUCUCCUGGAAUGGAGCGUCAUAGAGGGUGAGAAUCCCGUCUUUGACACGGACUACCAGGGCAUUGUGGUGCGCUCUCGAAGAGUCGAGUUGUUUGGGAAUGCAGCUCUAAAUGGGUGGUAAAUUCCAUCUAAAGCUAAAUAUUGGCGAGAGACCGAUAGCGAACAAGUACCGUGAGGGAAAGAUGAAAAGAACUUUGGAAAGAGAGUUAAACAGUACGUGAAAUUGCUGAAAGGGAAACGCUUGAAGUCAGUCGCGUUGUCCAGGGAUCAGCCUUGCUUCUGUGAGGUGUACUUCCUGGUUGACGGGUCAGCAUCAGUUUCGACCACUGGAAAAAGGCUGGGGGAAUGUGGCACCUUCGGGUGUGUUAUAGCCCCUUGUCGUAUACAGUGGUUGGGACUGAGGAACUCAGCACGCCGCAAGGCCGGGAUUCGUCCACGUUCGUGCUUAGGAUGCUGGCAUAAUGGCUUUAAGCGACCCGUCUUGAAACACGGACCAAUGAGUCUAACAUGCUUGCGAGUGUUUGGGUGGGAAGGAAAACCCGAGCGCGUAAUGAAAGUGAAAGUUGGGAUCUCUGUCGUGGAGAGGACGGACUCCCGGCCCUGAAAUAUACGGGCGGAGCUGCGGUAG